GUGGCCCGUUCCAUCGUGAAAAAGUCUUCCAUCAAAGUGUCUCUGCUUCCCUCUGUAACUCGCCGAUAUCCCCCACGACCUCCCCCUCUUUGUCGAAGUCAACGGUGCUGCUAUCGAUCGAUCGCGGUGGCCUUUGUCGUUCGCGUAUCCUCAAAUCCGUUUCGGUUUUAAACGAACGUACCCGGUUCUCUCGAGCAGGCACAAGCGGACAAACGAAACAGUGUGCUGCGGUCCUGGUCGUUUCUGAGUAGGCGUUCUCCAAGGAAUUUCAAACAAUUAAAGCGACUCUAAAUCAUGACUUCGCCAGACGUGGCGAAACAUGGCGCAACGAGAGGUCCGUGCACCUAGUAUCAAGCAGCUAGUCGCUCGUAAGCAGGAAAUUACACGAUCCCUCCCGGCGCCAAACUAUUUCCAUUUGCCAAAGUUGCACGUGGCAAAGGUUAACGAGGCCAAACGAUCUGGUCGGUCUGGCGAAUGAAUUCUUCAUUAGAGGAAACGGGACAGCGGCUCGAUAGUGGCUCGACCUCGAAAAACCAACGUGACUGUGCUCGAUUUUUCUGCCGCCGGCCAGGGAGAGAAAUUUCAUACGGCGUCCAGGUGAUUCAAGGAGCGAAUGCAACCCCGUACGUGGAACUCGUAGUACACGCGUUUGAUGGGACAGACGCCAUGAGGAUCAGUAAGGUGGAAACCGAUGAAGCCGGGAUAUAAAGUCCAAUAACAAGGAAAGAAGAACGUUUAGAAGGAAGGGGAACGAAACAGGGUCACGUAAAAAUAGGGAAAGAGAGCGAGGAGGACUGAAACCGUUGGGAAAGAAGAAAAAAUAAGAAGAAGGGACGUGAAAGGGUUAGUAAGAGGGAAACGAAAAAACGGAGGGAUGGAAGAAGGAGAGAGAGGCAGCGAUGAAAUGAAAAAAGAGAGAGGAUACUACGGUUCGAGGGAAAGAAAAUGAAUGGAGGAAAAGGGGGACAGAGAAUGAGAUAGAAAGAGAAGGAGUAAGGCAGACUGAUAGUUCGGAAGGAAAACGAGAGAAACCAAGCAUGAAAAAAAGAGAGAAAAAGAGAGAGAGAAAGAGUUAAAGGUGAGCAUGAGAGAAAAAGAGACGACGAUGGAAAAUGAGGGAAUGAUAAUUAGAGAAAGCGAGUGAGUGAAGAGAGAGAGAGAGAGGAAGCUGGAGUUCCUGUCGCUCGAUAACGCCUCUGCUUCUGCUCCGUCAUCAGCACCUCUUCUUUCUCUCUCUCUCUUUCUCUUUCUCUCCUUCGUUCUCUUAGAUUUUAGAUUCUCGUUUGAGAAUUUUAAUAUUCGCGAACAAUUAAAAUUGUAAA
Frieseomelitta varia is the source of this 1322-nucleotide long non-coding RNA. RefSeq lists it as uncharacterized. The record is from RefSeq and is a predicted model, not a curated record. The transcript is spliced from 3 exons. NCBI's taxonomy places the organism in Eukaryota, Metazoa, Arthropoda, Insecta, Hymenoptera, Apidae.